GACGAACGCUGGCGGCGUGCUUAACACAUGCAAGUCGAGCGGUAAGGCCCUUUCGGGGGUACGACGAGCGGCGAACGGGUGAGUAACACGUGGGUGACCUGCCCUUACGCUCUGGGAGUAAGCCUGGGAAACGUGGGUCUAAUACCGGAUAUGACUCCAUGACGCAUGUUGUGGGGUGGAAAGCCUUGUGCGGCUAGGGA
RNAcentral lists this ribosomal RNA (200 nucleotides) under uncultured bacterium. RNAcentral's name for it is "partial 16S ribosomal RNA". It matches the Rfam family "Bacterial small subunit ribosomal RNA", at positions 28 to 225 of the family's 1533-position model. The record is from RNAcentral.